CCUACGGGUGGCAGCAGUAGGGAAUCUUCGUCAAUGGGCGCAAGCCUGAACGAGCAAUGCCGCGUGAACGAGGAAGGUCUUCGGAUCGUAAAGUUCUGUUGAAGGGGAAAAAGAGCGGAGAGAGGAAAUGGUCUCCGAUUGAUAUUACCCUUCGAGGAAGUCACGGCUAACUACGUGCCAGCAGCCGCGGUAAUACGUAGGUGGCGAGCGUUAUCCGGAAUGAUUGGGCGUAAAGGGUGCGUAGGCGGCCUGCUAAGUCUGGAGUGAAAGGUACCGGCUCAACCGGUACAGGCUCUGGAAACUGGCGGGGUAGAGAGGAGGAGAGGGCGGUGGAACUCCAUGUGUAGCGGUAAAAUGCGUAGAUAUAUGGAAGAACACCAGUGGCGAAGGCGGCCGCCUGGCCUGUUGACUGACGCUGAGGCACGAAAGCGUGGGGAGCAAAUAGGAUUAGAUACCCUGGUAGUC
RNAcentral lists this ribosomal RNA (465 nucleotides) under uncultured bacterium. RNAcentral describes it as "partial 16S ribosomal RNA". It matches the Rfam family "Bacterial small subunit ribosomal RNA", at positions 338 to 795 of the family's 1533-position model. The record is from RNAcentral.